RNAcentral lists this ribosomal RNA (253 nucleotides) under uncultured bacterium. RNAcentral describes it as "partial 16S ribosomal RNA". It matches the Rfam family "Bacterial small subunit ribosomal RNA", at positions 524 to 776 of the family's 1533-position model. The record is from RNAcentral.
UACGGAGGGUGCAAGCGUUAUCCGGAUUCACUGGGUUUAAAGGGUGCGUAGGCGGGGAGGUAAGUCAGUGGUGAAAUCUUCGAGCUUAACUCGGAAACUGCCUUUGAUACUAUCUAUCUUGAAUAUUGUGGAGGUAAGCGGAAUAUGUCAUGUAGCGGUGAAAUGCUUAGAUAUGACAUAGAACACCUAUUGCGAAGGCAGCUUACUACGCAUAUAUUGACGCUGAGGCACGAAAGCGUGGGGAUCAAACAGG